This 247-nucleotide ribosomal RNA is filed under the name uncultured Geobacter sp. Its description in RNAcentral is "partial 16S ribosomal RNA". It matches the Rfam family "Bacterial small subunit ribosomal RNA", at positions 1139 to 1382 of the family's 1533-position model. Lineage: Bacteria; Pseudomonadati; Thermodesulfobacteriota; Desulfuromonadia; Geobacterales; Geobacteraceae. The record is from RNAcentral.
UCUGUGGAGACUGCCGGUGGUCAAAACCGGAGGAAGGUGGGAUGACGUCAAGUCCUCAUGGCCCUUAUGACCAGGGCUACACACGUGCUACAAUGGCCGGUACAAAGAGUUGCGAUACCGCGAGGGUGGAGCUAAUACUCAUAAAGCCGGUCUCAGUUCGGAUUGGAGUCUGCAACUCGACUCCAUGAAGUUGGAAUCGCUAGUAAUCGCGGAUCAGCAUGCCGCGGUGAAUACGUUCCCGGGCCUU